RNAcentral lists this transfer-messenger RNA (157 nucleotides) under Shigella sonnei. Its description in RNAcentral is "partial transfer-messenger RNA". It matches the Rfam family "transfer-messenger RNA", at positions 1 to 166 of the family's 374-position model. Rfam says of the family: Bacterial tmRNA, also known as 10Sa RNA or SsrA, is named for its dual tRNA and mRNA-like properties. Its role is to liberate the mRNA from a stalled ribosome. Lineage: Bacteria; Pseudomonadati; Pseudomonadota; Gammaproteobacteria; Enterobacterales; Enterobacteriaceae. The record is from RNAcentral.
GGGGCUGAUUCUGGAUUCGACGGGAUUUGCGAAACCCAAGGUGCAUGCCGAGGGGCGGUUGGCCUCGUAAAAAGCCGCAAAAAAUAGUCGCAAACGACGAAAACUACGCUUUAGCAGCUUAAUAACCAGACUAGAACACACCUCCCCUCCUUCCCUU